UCUUCCCUCUGUCUGUGUGCUUAACACAUGCAAGUCGAACGGAAAGGUCCAAGCUUGUUUGGGUACUCGAGUGGCGAACGGGCGCGUAUCACGUGGGUGAUUUGCACUUCACUUCGGGAUAAGCAUGGGCCACUGGGACUAAUACCGGUUAGGACGAUGGUUUGGAUGCCAUUGUGGAACGCUUUUACGGUGUGGGCUCAGAUCGCGGCCUAUCCGCUCCUUGGUGGGGUAAUGGCCUACAAAGGGGUCGACGGGAAGCCGGCCUGAGAGGGUGUACGGGCACAUUGGAACUGAGAUACGGCCCAGACACCCGCGAGGGGCAGCAGUGGGGGAUAGUGCACAAUGGGCACAAGCCUGGUGCAGCGACGGCGCGUGGGGGAUGACGGCCUUCGGGUUGUAAACGCCUUUCGCUAAGGACGAAGCGGUUUUGUGACGGUACCUGGUGAAGAAGCACCGGCUAACUACGUG
Molecule: ribosomal RNA, 468 nt
Filed under: uncultured bacterium
Lineage: Bacteria
Description: partial 16S ribosomal RNA
Rfam family: Bacterial small subunit ribosomal RNA
Source: RNAcentral